Molecule: ribosomal RNA, 253 nt
Filed under: uncultured bacterium
Lineage: Bacteria
Description: partial 16S ribosomal RNA
Rfam family: Bacterial small subunit ribosomal RNA
Source: RNAcentral
UACGGAGGGUGCAAGCGUUGUUCGGAAUUAUUGGGCGUAAAGGGCAGGUAGGUGGUCCCAAAAGUCUACUGUGAAAUCCCCGGGCUUAACUCGGGAAGUGCGGUAGAUACUCUGGGACUAGAGUACUGGAGGGGUUCGUGGAAUUCCCGGUGUAGCGGUGAAAUGCGUAGAUAUCGCUUGGAACGCCGACGGUGAAAACAGCUCGCUGGGGAUUCGCUGACGCUGAGACACGAAAGCCAGGGGAGCAAACGGG